This 468-nucleotide ribosomal RNA is filed under the name uncultured bacterium. RNAcentral describes it as "partial 16S ribosomal RNA". It matches the Rfam family "Bacterial small subunit ribosomal RNA", at positions 28 to 507 of the family's 1533-position model. The record is from RNAcentral.
GACGAACGCUGGCGGCGUGCUUAACGCAUGCAAGUCGAACGGAAAGGCCCUGCUUUUGUGGGGUGCUCGAGUGGCGAACGGGUGAGUAACACGUGAGUAACCUGCCCUUGACUUUGGGAUAACUUCAGGAAACUGGGGCUAAUACCGGAUAGGAGCUCCUGCUGCAUGGUGGGGGUUGGAAAGUUUCGGCGGUUGGGGAUGGACUCGCGGCUUAUCAGCUUGUUGGUGGGGUAGUGGCUUACCAAGGCUUUGACGGGUAGCCGGCCUGAGAGGGUGACCGGCCACAUUGGGACUGAGAUACGGCCCAGACUCCUACGGGAGGCAGCAGUGGGGAAUAUUGCACAAUGGGCGGAAGCCUGAUGCAGCAACGCCGCGUGCGGGAUGACGGCCUUCGGGUUGUAAACCGCUUUCGCCUGUGACGAAGCGUGAGUGACGGUAAUGUGUAAAGAAGCACCGGCUAACUACGUG